CCUACGGGAGGCAGCAGUGGGGAAUAUUGGACAAUGGGGGCAACCCUGAUCCAGCCAUGCCGCGUGUGUGAAGAAGGCCCUCGGGUUGUAAAGCACUUUCAGUGAGGAAGAACGCCUGGUGGUUAAUACCCAUCAGGAAAGACAUCACUCACAGAAGAAGCACCGGCUAACUCCGUGCCAGCAGCCGCGGUAAUACGGAGGGGGCGAGCGUUAAUCGGAAUUACUGGGCGUAAAGCGCGCGUAGGUGGCUUGAUAAGCCGGUUGUGAAAGCCCCGGGCUCAACCUGGGAACGGCAUCCGGAACUGUCAAGCUAGAGUGCAGGAGAGGAAGGUAGAAUUCCCGGUGUAGCGGUGAAAUGCGUAGAGAUCGGGAGGAAUACCAGUGGCGAAGGCGGCCUUCUGGACUGACACUGACACUGAGGUGCGAAAGCGUGGGUAGCAAACAGGAUUAGAUACCCCAGUAGUC
This 465-nucleotide ribosomal RNA is filed under the name Vreelandella stevensii. Its description in RNAcentral is "partial 16S ribosomal RNA". It matches the Rfam family "Bacterial small subunit ribosomal RNA", at positions 338 to 795 of the family's 1533-position model. Lineage: Bacteria; Pseudomonadati; Pseudomonadota; Gammaproteobacteria; Oceanospirillales; Halomonadaceae. The record is from RNAcentral.